RNAcentral lists this ribosomal RNA (497 nucleotides) under uncultured bacterium. RNAcentral describes it as "partial 16S ribosomal RNA". It matches the Rfam family "Bacterial small subunit ribosomal RNA", at positions 28 to 507 of the family's 1533-position model. The record is from RNAcentral.
GAUGAACGCUGGCGGCGUGCUUAAUACAUGCAAGUCGAGCGGACGGACGAGAAUCUUGCGUCUCUCAUGUUAGCGGCCGACGGGUGAGUAACACGUGGAUAACCUACCUAUCAUACUGGGAUAAAUACGGGAAACCGGAUCUAAUACCGGAUGAUAUUUUGCCCCUCAUGGUUCACAAGUUAGAGACGGUCUUUCUGGCACUUAUAGAUGGAUCCGCGCUGCAUUAGCUAGUUGGUAAGGUAACGGCUUACCAAGGCAACGAUGCAGAGCCGACCGGAGAGGGUGAUCGGCCACACUGGAACUGAACCGCGGUCCAGACGACUAUGGGACGGAGCAGAAGGGUAUGGUACGCAAUGGGAGAGAGCCUGGCGGAGCAAAGCCGAGUGAGGUGUAGAAUGACUGGGAUCGUAAUGCUAUGCUACUAGGGAAGAACAUAUGUGUAAGUAACGGUGGAGAUCUUGACGGUACCUAAUCAGAAAGCACCGGCUAACUACGUG